This 2003-nucleotide ribosomal RNA is filed under the name Clostridioides difficile. Its description in RNAcentral is "partial 23S ribosomal RNA". It matches the Rfam family "Bacterial large subunit ribosomal RNA", at positions 683 to 2703 of the family's 2925-position model. The record is from RNAcentral. Lineage: Bacteria; Bacillati; Bacillota; Clostridia; Peptostreptococcales; Peptostreptococcaceae.
UUUAACUGAGCGUUCAGUUACUUGACGUAGACCCGAAACCGGGCGACCUACCCAUGAGCAGGAUGAAGCGAAAGUAAAAUUUCGUGGAGGUCCGAACCCACGAGCGUUGAAAAGCUCGGGGAUGACUUGUGGGUAGCGGUGAAAUUCCAAUCGAGCCCGGAGAUAGCUGGUUCUCCCCGAAAUAGCUUUAGGGCUAGCCUCAAGGUGAGAGAUACGGAGGUAGAGCACUGAAUGUCCUAGGGGGUAUUGCACCUACCGAAGACUAUCAAACUCCGAAUGCCGUCAUCUUAUACUUGGGAGUCAGACUGUGGGUGAUAAGAUUCAUAGUCGAAAGGGCAACAGCCCAGAUCGUCAGCUAAGGUCCCUAAAUGUAAGUUAAGUGGUAAAGGAUGUGGGAUUGCACAGACAACCAGGAUGUUGGCUUAGAAGCAGCCACUCAUUCAAAGAGUGCGUAAUAGCUCACUGGUCGAGUGAUCCUGCGCCGAAGAUUUCCGGGGCUAAAACUUACUACCGAAGCUACGGCAUCAGUAAUGAUGGGUAGGGGAGCUUCCCAUACGGGUUGAAGCAUGACCGUAAGGACAUGUGGACAGUAUGGGAGUGAGAAUGUUGGCAUGAGUAGCGAGAUGUGGGUGAGAAUCCCACAGGCCGUAAACCCAAGGUUUCCAGGGGAAGGUUCGUCCGCCCUGGGUUAGUCGGGACCUAAGCUGAGGCCGAAAGGCGUAGGUGAUGGACAACAGGUUGAUAUUCCUGUACUACCGAUAACCGUUUGAGAGAAGGGAUGACACAGUAGGAUAAGCUAAGCACACUGUUGGUUAUGUGUGCCCAAGCAUUGAGGCAGUCAAAGCAGGCAAAUCCGCUUUGAUAAUGCUGGGAUGUGAUGGGGAGCGAAAUUUAGUAGCGAAGUAGCUGAUUUCACACUGUCAAGAAAAGUCUCUAUCGAGGUUAAAGGUACCCGUACCGCAAACCGACACAGGUGGGUGAGGAGAGUAUCCUAAGGCCAGCGAGAGAACUGUUGUUAAGGAACUCGGCAAAAUGACCCCGUAACUUAGGGAUAAGGGGUGCCACCAUCAGGUGGCCGCAGAGAAUAGGCCCAAGCGACUGUUUACCAAAAACAUAGGUUUCUGCUAAGUCGCAAGACGAUGUAUAGGAGCUGACGCCUGCCCGGUGCUGGAAGGUUAAGGGGAUCUGUUAGAGCAAUCGAAGCAGUGAACUUAAGCCCCAGUAAACGGCGGCCGUAACUAUAACGGUCCUAAGGUAGCGAAAUUCCUUGUCGGGUAAGUUCCGACCCGCACGAAAGGCGUAACGAUUUGGGCACUGUCUCAACAACAGACUCGGUGAAAUUGUAAUUCCGGUGAAGAUGCCGGAUACCUGCGACAGGACGGAAAGACCCCAUGGAGCUUUACUGUAGCUUGACAUUGGGUCUUGGUACUACAUGUACAGGAUAGGUGGGAGGCUUUGAAACCAGGACGCCAGUUUUGGCGGAGCCAUCCUUGGGAUACCACCCUUGUAGUACUGGGACUCUAACCAUAGGCCAUGAAUCUGGUCUUGGGACACUGUCAGGUGGGCAGUUUGACUGGGGCGGUCGCCUCCCAAAAGGUAACGGAGGCGCUCAAAGGUUCUCUCAGUACGGUCGGAAAUCGUACGUAGAGUGUAAAGGCAAAAGAGAGCUUGAUUGCAAGACAUACAGGUCGAGCAAGGAUGAAAAUCGGACUUAGUGAUCCGGUGGUUCUGCGUGGAAGGGCCAUCGCUCAACGGAUAAAAGCUACCCUGGGGAUAACAGGCUUAUCUCCCCCAAGAGUCCACAUCGACGGGGAGGUUUGGCACCUCGAUGUCGGCUCAUCACAUCCUGGGGCUGUAGUAGGUCCCAAGGGUUGGGCUGUUCGCCCAUUAAAGUGGUACGCGAGCUGGGUUCAGAACGUCGUGAGACAGUUCGGUCCCUAUCCGUCGCAGGCGUAGGAAAUUUGAGAAGACCUGUCCUUAGUACGAGAGGACCGGGAUGGACG